CCCUUAGAUGUCCUGGGCCGCACGCGCGCUACACUGAGUGUCUGAGAUACGAGUCUGCCUGGUCCGGCAAGGUCUAGGUAAUCGCUAAAAGACACAUCAUGCUUGGGAUAGAUUAUUGCAAAUAUUAAUCUUGAACGAGGAAUUCCUAGUAAGCGCAAGUCAACAGCUUGCGUUGAUUACGUCCCUGCCCUUUGUACACACCGCCCGUCGCUACUACCGAUUGGGAAAAUUUUAGAGAGUCCUGGACUGAUGAUUGUUCGGCUUCACGGCCUUACUUUCGUCGGGAAAGAAUUCGAUAAUAUUUUUCUAGAGGAAGUAAAAGUCGUAACG
RNAcentral lists this ribosomal RNA (330 nucleotides) under uncultured eukaryote. Its description in RNAcentral is "partial 18S ribosomal RNA". It matches the Rfam family "Eukaryotic small subunit ribosomal RNA", at positions 1470 to 1796 of the family's 1831-position model. The record is from RNAcentral.